UACUUUGGGGUGUGGAGGCACAAUAAAUUUUGGUUUUGUAGGAAAUAGUGUAAUUCUAUUCAUAGUAA
Molecule: transfer RNA, 68 nt
Filed under: Orthonychiurus folsomi
Lineage: Eukaryota; Metazoa; Arthropoda; Collembola; Poduromorpha; Onychiuridae
Description: tRNA-Gln
Source: RNAcentral